Molecule: unclassified non-coding RNA, 786 nt
Filed under: Melitaea cinxia (Glanville fritillary)
Lineage: Eukaryota; Metazoa; Arthropoda; Insecta; Lepidoptera; Nymphalidae
Description: misc RNA ENSMCXG00005012433.1
Source: RNAcentral
AAAUUCGCAAAAUUACUUUUCUGCAGAUAUUAUUUAUACUUUAUAUUUUCUAUAUCUAGUAUGUCCUAAAAUUUAUUUCUUUCUGUCAAAUUUGAUAUAAAGAAGAUAGUCAAACAAAAUUACAAAAAGUAUGUUAGACUAGUGGCGAAGGGUUUGAAAAUGGUAAAAAAUAAGAAAAAAUUAGAACAGGCCAACAGGGUGAAAUCUUAAAAUGCGAAAACCUAAAUUAUAAUAAUUGUGUUUGCAGGCAAACGAAGAAAAACCGACUUAAAAUAUAUCGACAAGUAAUACAACGCAGUUACGCCUGCAACACUACAGAAACAUCGCAAGCGUGUUGCCGAUCCUACUCCUGAUGACUUUCCCCAGCCCAGGAGUUCGGGCCAACUUACUCCUUACUUACCACAGGGACGCAAUACUACUUGAGACCAGUAUUAUUUAGUUUUAAUCUUCUGUAAGGUUGAGAAACUUCCCUAGACGAGUUGCUCCAGAUUUUGAACAGGAUUUAUCCUGCUGUGCCCUACUUUAAGACUUUAUACUUAAUAUAAUAUACUUAAGUAAUAUUUGUGAACAAAGAAUAAUACUCUCGUUUAGUUAUGGAAAUAUCUGUUAUUUUUAUUUAUACAGGUUAACAGUGAAUGUAAUAAAAAUAUGUGUACUAAAAGCACGUUAACUUGGCGUUUGCGUAGUCAAGCCGGUCGGGCGACCGCGUAGUCACGUACAGCCGGUCGUAGGCCGUAGCAGUUUACUCUCAAUUUCAGAGUCAAUGCAACGCCUUAAGAGAUAUAG